Molecule: unclassified non-coding RNA, 958 nt
Filed under: Hevea brasiliensis (rubber tree)
Lineage: Eukaryota; Viridiplantae; Streptophyta; Magnoliopsida; Malpighiales; Euphorbiaceae
Source: RNAcentral
AUGGGAAGUACUCACACUUCUCAUAUUUUUCCUCCAAAAGUUCUUAAACGCCACCCAAUCUCCGACCAUUAUUUUACCUUUCAAAUCUUCCGAACAAAAUCCAAAACCCUAAAAAUCAAUUUUUCAUUCUCAAUCUUCCCAUUUUUUGCCCUAAACUUUUCAAUUUAUUCCCUGUAAGUCCCUUUCCUCCAUGAAUUUCCCCUUUUACAAACCCUAAAGAGCCAAAAAAAUCCACAAUUCACAAUGUCGGAGCAGCCGAUAAUCACUCACGUCUCCGAUACGAGUCCGUUAACCCGGGCGACGAGUUCCCGGUCGGUGACGGAAACGGUAAACGGUUCACACCGGUUUGUGAUUCAGGGGUAUUCUUUGGCGAAAGGAAUGGGAGUUGGGAAACACAUCGCGAGUGAUACUUUCACCGUUGGUGGACAUCAAUGGGCUAUUUACUUUUAUCCCGAUGGGAAAAAUCCUGAGGAUAAUUCAACGUAUGUGUCACUUUUUAUUGCGUUGGCGAGUGAAGGAACGGAUGUUAGGGCUUUGUUUGAAUUGACGUUGGUUGAUCAGAGUGGUAAAGAGAAGCAUAAGGUUCAUAGUCAUUUUGAUCGGUCACUUGAAAGUGGACCAUAUACAUUGAAAUACCGCGGCAGCAUGUGGGGAUACAAACGUUUCUUUAGACGAGCUUUACUUGAGAAUUCAGAUUAUCUCAAGGAUGAUUGUUUGAAAAUCAACUGUACUGUGGGAGUUGUUCGUUCUACAAUUGAUAUCGCGAGCUUACAGCCAAUCCAGGUUCCAGGUUCUGAUAUGGGAUCACACUUUGGAAUGCUAUUAGAGAAUAUGGAAGGCACUGAUGUUGUUUUCAGCGUGGCUGGUGAAAAAUUUCAUGCCCAUAAGCUGGUAUUAACUGCUCGUUCUCCUGUAUUUCGCACUGAAUUGUUUGAUGAACUGAUGGGCGAUAAGCAGG